GGUUUAGGUAGACAGAUAUAACCAGUGUUGUGGAGGAGGUCUAGGUAGACAGAUAUAACCAGUGUUGUGGUCUAGGUAGACAGAUAUAACCAGUGUUGUGGUCUAGGUAGACAGAUAGAACCAGUGUUGUGGAGGAGGUCUAGGUAGACAGAUAUAACCAGUGUUGUGGUCUAGGUAGACAGAUAUAACCAGUGUUGUGGUCUAGGUAGACAGAUAUAACCAGUGGUGUGGAGGAGGUCUAGGUAGACAGAUAUAACCAGUGUUGUGGUCUAGGUAGACAGAUAGAACCAGUGUUGUGGAGGAGGUCUAGGCAGACUGAUAUAACCAGUGUUGUGGAGGAGGUCUAGGUAGACAGAUAGAACCAGUGUUGUGGAGGAGGUCUAGGUAGACAGAUAGAACCAGUGUUGUGGAGGAGGUCUAGGCAGACUGAUAUAACCAGUGUUGUGGAGGAGGUCUAGGUAGACAGAUAGAACCAGUGUUGUGGAGGAGGUCUAGGUAGACAGAUAUAACCAGUGUUGUGGAGGAGGUCUAGGCAGACUGAUAUAACCAGUGUUGUGGAGGAGGUCUAGGUAGACAGAUAGAACCAGUGUUGUGGAGGAGGUCUAGGUAGACAGAUAGAACCAGUGUUGUGGAGGAGGUCUAGGCAGACUGAUAUAACCAGUGUUGUGGAGGAGGUCUAGGUAGACAGAUAGAACCAGUGUUGUGGAGGAGGUCUAGGUAGACAGAUAUAACCAGUGUUGUGGAGGAGGUCUAGGCAGACUGAUAUAACCAGUGUUGUGGAGGAGGUCUAGGUAGACAGAUAGAACCAGUGUUGUGGAGGAGGUCUAGGUAGACAGAUAGAACCAGUGUUGUGGAGGAGGUCUAGGUAGACAGAUAUAACCAGUGUUGUGGAGGAGGUCUAGGUAGAUAUACAUAAUAUGACAUUUGUAAUGUCUUUAUUCUUUUGAAUCUUCUGUAUGUGUAAUGUUUACUGUUAAUUUUUAUUGUUUAUUUCAAUUUUGUAUAUUAUCUACCUCACUUGCUUUGGCAAUGUUAACACAUG
Oncorhynchus keta (chum salmon) is the source of this 1042-nucleotide long non-coding RNA. RefSeq lists it as uncharacterized. The record is from RefSeq and is a predicted model, not a curated record. The transcript has 4 exons. NCBI's taxonomy places the organism in Eukaryota, Metazoa, Chordata, Actinopteri, Salmoniformes, Salmonidae.